This 494-nucleotide ribosomal RNA is filed under the name uncultured bacterium. RNAcentral describes it as "partial 16S ribosomal RNA". It matches the Rfam family "Bacterial small subunit ribosomal RNA", at positions 28 to 507 of the family's 1533-position model. The record is from RNAcentral.
GACGAACGCUGGCGGCGUGCUUAACACAUGCAAGUCGAACGGAAAGGCCUGCUUUCCCUUGUGGAUUGCGGGUACUCGAGUGGCGAACGGGUGAGUAACACGUGAGUGAUCUGCCCCCAACUUGGGUAUAAGCCUGGGAAACUGGGUCUAAUUCCCGAUAGGACUGCAGGGUGGUGCCUGUGGUGGAACACGAUUUUCUAGUGGUUGGGGAUGAGCUCGCGGCCUAUCAGCUUGUUGGUGGGGUAAUGACCUACCAAGGCGGCGACGGGUAGCCGGCCUGAGAGGGUGGACGGCCACAUUGGGACUGAGAUACGGCCCAGAGUCCUACGGGAGGCAGCAGUGGGGAAUAUUGCACAAUGGGCGGAAGCCUGAUGCAGCGACGCCGCGUGGGGGAUGACGGCCUUCGGGUUGUAAACUCCUUUCGACCGCGAGGAAGCCACCUGGUUGGAAGGGUGGUGACGGUAGUGGUAGAAGAAGCACCGGCUAACUACGUG